Molecule: ribosomal RNA, 3003 nt
Filed under: sediment metagenome
Description: bacterial LSU rRNA
Rfam family: Bacterial large subunit ribosomal RNA
Source: RNAcentral
CUAAGAGCAAUUGGUGGAUGCCUAGGCAUAUAGAGGCGAUGAAGGACGUGGCUAGCUGCGAAAAGCCCCGGGAAGGUGCAAACAACCGUUGAUCCGGGGAUCUCCGAAUGGGGCAACCCUUCCCGAUUAAUAUCGGGAAACUCCCGACUGAAUAUAUAGGUCGGGUAGAGCGAACGGGGUGAAUUGACACAUCUAAGUAACCCCAGGAAUAGAAAACAACCGUGAUUCCCAAAGUAGCGGCGAGCGAACUGGGAAGAGCCUAAACCUGCUUUAUGUUAAAGCCUGCCGGCGUUGUAAAGCAGGGGUUGCGGGAUAUUUCAGGAGAGACCGGCAGGUCUCUCGACAAGUCAAAAACCUGUAGAUUAUUCGAACUGUUCUGGAAAGGACAGGCCGUAGAAGGUGACAGCCCUGUAGGAAAAAAUCGGCAGGCUUGUCUGAAAUAUUCCCAAGUACCACGAUCCACGCGGAAUUUUGUGGGAAUCUACCGGGACCACCCGGAAAGGCUAAAUACUCCUAUAUGACCGAUAGUGAACUAGUACCGUGAGGGAAAGGUGAAAAGUACUCCUGGCGGAGAGUGAAAUAGAACCUGAAACCAGUUGCUUACAAUCUGUCGGAGUCCCGAUUAAUCGGGAUGACGGCGUGCCUUUUGCAUAAUGAGCCAGCGAGUUACUCGUGUGUUGCGAGGCUAAUCCAGACGGAGGAGCCGUAGCGAAAGCAAGUCCGAAUAGGGCGAUUAGUAACAUGCGGUAGACCCGAAGCCGAGUGAUCUAUCCAUGGCCAGGAUGAAGCCCCGAUAAUAUCGGGGUGGAGGUCCGAACCCACCAGCGUUGAAAAGCUGGGGGAUGAGCUGUGGAUGGGGGUGAAAGGCCAAUCAAACUCGGUGAUAGCUGGUUCUCCCCGAAAUAGCUUUAGGGCUAGCCUUGCAUAAUAGUAUGACGGAGGUAGAGCACUGAAUGGGCUAGGGGCCUUACCAGGUUACCAACCCCAACCAAACUCCGAAUGCCGUCCAUAUGUUUUGCAGGAGUCAGGCCGUGUGGGAUAAGCUUCACGGCCGAGAGGGAAACAACCCAGAUCGAUAGCUAAGGUCCCUAAAUACAGGGUAAGUGAUAAAGGAUGUGAAAUUACACAGACAGCUAGGAUGUUGGCUUAGAAGCAGCCACUCAUUUAAAGAGUGCGUAAUAGCUCACUAGUCAAGUGGUUUCGCGCCAAUAAUUCUCGGGACUAAUAACCCUGUUACCGAAGCUUCGGAUUCUACCGUUAUGCGGUAGAGUGGUAGGGGAGCGUUCCAUUAACCGUUGAAGGUCAAUCGCGAGGUUGGCUGGAGGACAUGGAAAUGAGUAUGCUGGCAUGAGUAGCGAUAAUGCCGAUGAGAAAUCGGCACACCGAAAGCCUAAGGGUUCCUGAGUAAAGUAAAUCUUCUCAGGGUUAGUCGGACCCUAAGCCGAGGCCGAAAGGCGUAGGCGAUGGAAAACAGGUUGAAUAUUCCUGUACCAUCUGUAUAUUGUUUGAUCUAUGGGGUGACGCAGGAGUGAAAGGUCAGCCGGGUGUUGAACGUCCCGGUUUAAGCAGGUAGGAGGACUGGACAGGCAAAUCCGUCCGGUCAUUACUCCGAGACGCGAAUAGGAGUCCCUAGGACAUAAACUGACCCUAAUCAAACUGACAAGAAAAGCCUCUUUGGUAGAUAUACGGAUGUCCGUACCCGAAACCGACACAGGUAGGCGAGGAGAGUAUCCUAAGGUGCUCGAGAUAGCUCUGGUUAAGGAACUAGGCAAAUUGGCCCCGUAACUUCGGAAUAUGGGGUGCCUCAAGUAGGUGAAAUUUUUUCAAACGUAGCCGAACGAGGUCGCAGUGAAAAGGUCUGGGCGACUGUUUACUAAAAACACAGGUCUCUGCUAAGUCGUAAGACGAUGUAUAGGGACUGACACCUGCCCGGUGCUGGAAGGUUAAAGGGACGUGUUAUCCCGAUUUAUCGGGAGAAGCUCUGAACUGAAGCCCCAGUAAACGGCGGCCGUAACUAUAACGGUCCUAAGGUAGCGAAAUUCCUUGUCGGGUAAGUUCCGACCCGCACGAAUGGUGUAACGACUUGGACACUGUCUCAACCAGAGCCUCGGCGAAAUUGUAAUGCCGGUGAAGAUGCCGGCUACCCGCAGCAGGACAGAAAGACCCCGGAACCUUUACUACAACUUGGCAUUGGAUUUUGAUUUUAUAUGUGUAGGAUAGGUGGGAGACUUUGAAGCCUCGACGCCAGUCGGGGUGGAGUCAACCUUGAAAUACCACCCUUAUAAAGUUAGGAUUCUAACCCGUCUCCUUGAAUCAGGAGAGGGGACAUUGUCAGGCGGGUAGUUUGACUGGGGCGGUCGCCUCCAAAAAUGUAACGGAGGCUCCCAAAGGUUCCCUCAGCACGAUUGGUAACCGUGCGCAGAGUGUAAAGGCAUAAGGGAGCUUAACUGCGAGACCUACAAGUCGAGCAGAUGCGAAAGCAGGGCUUAGUGAUCCGGCGGUAGCGAGUGGAAGUGCCGUCGCUCAAAGGAUAAAAGGUACUCCGGGGAUAACAGGCUGAUCUCCCCCAAGAGUUCACAUCGACGGGGAGGUUUGGCACCUCGAUGUCGGCCCGUCACAUCCUGGGGCUGGAGAAGGUCCCAAGGGUUGGGCUGUUCGCCCAUUAAAGUGGCACGCGAGCUGGGUUUAGAACGUCGUGAGACAGUUCGGUCCUUAUCCGCUGUGGGCGCAGGAGAUUUGAAAGGGGCUACUCUUAGUACGAGAGGACCAGAGUGGACAAACCUCUAGUGUACCAGUUGUGCCGUCAGGUGCAGUGCUGGGUAGCUACGUUUGGUCUGGAUAAACGCUGAAGGCAUAUAAGCGUGAAACCGUCCUUAAGACAAAAUCUCCCUCCCGAUUUAUCGGGACUUAAGGUUCCUUGUAGAUUACGAGGUUGAUAGGUCAUAGGUGUACGCUCCGUAAGGAGUUUAGCCGAGUGAUACUAAUAAACCGUGAGUCUUGACC